RNAcentral lists this ribosomal RNA (971 nucleotides) under uncultured fungus. RNAcentral's name for it is "eukaryotic LSU rRNA". The stretch from base 384 to 971 matches the Rfam family "Eukaryotic large subunit ribosomal RNA", at positions 1 to 649 of the family's 3401-position model. The record is from RNAcentral. Lineage: Eukaryota; Fungi.
AAGUCGUAACAAGGUUUCCGUAGGUGAACCUGCGGAAGGAUCAUUAUUGAAAUUGUUAUACACAUGUUUUUAUUGCAUAAACUUUUACACUAUUAUUACAGUCAACGAAAGAAAUAAUCAAAACUUUCAACAACGGAUCUCUUGGUUCUCGCAUCGAUGAAGAACGCAGCGAAAUGCGAUACGUAAUAUGAAUUGCAGAUUUUCGUGAAUCAUCGAAUCUUUGAACGCACAUUGCGCCCUGUGGUAUUCCACAGGGCAUGCCUGUUUGAGCGUCAUUUCUCUCUCAAGCCCUUGGCUUGGUGUUGAGUUUGCUCGGCUUACUUGAAAAGUAUGUGUGCAUUUGUUUUAGGUACAACCAUGUCAAAUGCAUUACCCCCCAAGUUUGACCUCAAAUCAGGUAGGACUACCCGCUGAACUUAAGCAUAUCAAUAAGCGGAGGAAAAGAAACCAACUGGGAUUGCCUUAGUAACGGCGAGUGAAGCGGCAAAAGCUCAAAUUUGAAAUCUCCGCAAGGCGAGUUGUAAUUUGAAGAAGGCGACUUUGGAAUGGGCCCUUGUCUAUGUUCCUUGGAACAGGACGUCACAGAGGGUGAGAAUCCCGUGCGAUGGGGUGUCCCGUUCCGUGUAAAGUGUUUUCGACGAGUCGAGUUGUUUGGGAAUGCAGCUCUAAGUGGGUGGUAAAUUCCAUCUAAAGCUAAAUAUUGGCGAGAGACCGAUAGCGAACAAGUACAGUGAUGGAAAGAUGAAAAGCACUUUGAAAAGAGAGUGAAAAAGUACGUGAAAUUGUUGAAAGGGAAGGGCUUGAGAUCAGACUUGGUGACUCGUCACUGGGCCAGCAUCGGUUCGGGUGGCAGGACAAGACCGUGGGAACGUGGCUCUGCUUCGGCGGAGUGUUAUAGCCCGCGGUGAUACUGCCUACCUGGACCGAGGACUGCGGAAACUAGGAUGCUGGCAUAAUGAUCUUAAGCCGCC